CCCUAAACCCUUAAUAUAAUUAUUUUCUUCUAUGGCUUGGUCAGCAGCUGUGCCCUUGGUGUUGCUGCCAUAAUGAGGUUCUCUUAAUGUUGUACAGUCCAGACACUACAUAAUGAAAACAGUAGAGGUGGGAACCCCUUGGCUCAGAAGUCGAUCGCCAUAGAUGGAUCAUCGUAAUAAGCUUCUUAUUUUCAAGCUGAAGAAGAGGGCGGAGGAAGGACUUUUUCCCACCCAGUCUCAGUGUGAAAGAAGAGAGCUGUGGGGGGAGGGGACACCUACCCAGACACAACCAUGUCUGACAUCCACGCGUGCUGAAUAGAAGCAGGGCUGCUACAAAGAAACCACAACCAAAGCAGAGGACAGAGAGACGGGGGAAGGGUGGGAGGGGAUCGGUGUGUGAAAGAUGCACAAGGGCUGCAUCUCUCAGAGUCCAGGAGAAACAAAAAAACAUUGUGUUGUGAAGGGAGGCUGAACCACCAGGCGCAAGCAAUGAGAAGCCGCUGAGCACAGCCUCCUCCUUCUGUCUCCCUGUGUGAGUCCGCCUCUGCCAGCUGAUCCCAAGCCCUGCGAUGAUUUAGAGUGUGCGGUGUGCAGACUCCCCUCCCUGCUGCCCCUGGCUGUGUUUGGGCUAUGGUCCUGACUCAGAAGCAGAGCAUCACCCAGAUGCGGCUCUGUGAAUGUAGCGGAGGUUAAGUCUGUGACAGCAGCAUGGGGGCCAAACAGAUGAAAUGCCUCUCCUCAGCCAGCCCUGCACACUCUCCUAAAGAGGAGUAUGUUAUCACCCAAACCACAGAUGGAUCGAAAGACGAAACAGCCAAUGAUCUCUCCAAGGUCCAAGGAGAAUAUCACGAGGACCAAUCAGGAGUUACAGAGAAGAAGUCGGCUGCAGAGGAGGUGCUGCUCUGUGGCUUGUGCCCAUCCCUGGGGCAGGAGGGGCAGGAGGGGGGUCAGGAG
Boleophthalmus pectinirostris (great blue-spotted mudskipper) is the source of this 954-nucleotide long non-coding RNA. RefSeq lists it as uncharacterized. The transcript is spliced from 6 exons. The record is from RefSeq and is a predicted model, not a curated record. Lineage: Eukaryota; Metazoa; Chordata; Actinopteri; Gobiiformes; Gobiidae.